RNAcentral lists this ribosomal RNA (484 nucleotides) under uncultured bacterium. Its description in RNAcentral is "partial 16S ribosomal RNA". It matches the Rfam family "Bacterial small subunit ribosomal RNA", at positions 29 to 507 of the family's 1533-position model. The record is from RNAcentral.
AUUGAACGCUGGCGGCAUGCUUUACACAUGCAAGUCGAACGGCAGCGCGGGCUUCGGCCUGGCGGCGAGUGGCGAACGGGUGAGUAAUGCAUCGGAACGUGCCCAGUAGUGGGGGAUAGCCCGGCGAAAGCCGGAUUAAUACCGCAUACGACCUGAGGGUGAAAGCGGGGGACCGAAAGGCCUCGCGCUAUUGGAGCGGCCGAUGUCGGAUUAGCUAGUUGGUGGGGUAAAGGCUUACCAAGGCGACGAUCCGUAGCUGGUCUGAGAGGACGACCAGCCACACUGGGACUGAGACACGGUCCAGACUCCUAAGGGAGGCAGCAGUGGGGAAUUUUGGACAAUGGGGGCAACCCUGAUCCAGCCAUGCCGCGUGCGGGAAGAAGGCCUUCGGGUUGUAAACCGCUUUUGUUCGGGAAGAAAUCCUCUGGGCUAAUACCCCGGGGGGAUGACGGUACCGGAAGAAUAAGCACCGGCUAACUACGUG